GGGUUAUAUAUGGUCUGGAUUUGAAAUCCGGAUUAGGUUUGUUAAACCGUAGCCUU
Molecule: transfer RNA, 56 nt
Filed under: Strongyloides vituli
Lineage: Eukaryota; Metazoa; Nematoda; Chromadorea; Rhabditida; Strongyloididae
Description: tRNA-Ser
Source: RNAcentral